Molecule: ribosomal RNA, 25 nt
Filed under: Elaphrobates chaetodontis
Lineage: Eukaryota; Metazoa; Platyhelminthes; Trematoda; Strigeidida; Aporocotylidae
Description: Cardicola chaetodontis partial 28S ribosomal RNA
Source: RNAcentral
UAACCUCGGAUCAGACGUGAAUACC